Molecule: ribosomal RNA, 281 nt
Filed under: Rhodococcoides corynebacterioides
Lineage: Bacteria; Bacillati; Actinomycetota; Actinomycetes; Mycobacteriales; Nocardiaceae
Description: Rhodococcus corynebacterioides partial 16S ribosomal RNA
Rfam family: Bacterial small subunit ribosomal RNA
Source: RNAcentral
GCCCGCGGCCUAUCAGCUUGUUGGUGGGGURUGGCCUACCAAGGCGACGACGGGUAGCCGGCCUGASASGGYSACCSKCUYACUGGGACUGAGACACGGCCCAKACUCMUACGGGAGGCAGCAGUGGGGAAUAUUGCACAAUGGGCGCAAGCCUGAUGCAGCGACGCCGCGUGAGGGAUGACGGCCUUCGGGUUGUAAACCUCUUUCAGCAGGGACGAAGCGUGAGUGACGGUACCUGCAGAAGAAGCACCGGCCAACUACGUGCCAGCAGCCGCGGUAAU